RNAcentral lists this long non-coding RNA (1191 nucleotides) under Anser brachyrhynchus (Pink-footed goose). RNAcentral describes it as "lncRNA (ENSABRG00000001495.1)". The record is from RNAcentral. Lineage: Eukaryota; Metazoa; Chordata; Aves; Anseriformes; Anatidae.
GCCCCCCGCCGGCUCCGAGCGCCCCGGAGCGGGGCGGCGCAGCCCGGCGCCUCGCACCGGUUCGGCCGGGCCCGCGCCCGCCUCCGCCUCCUCGCCUUUCCCCGCGCCGGGGACGGAGCGCGGCUCGCCCCGCGACCCCGCGGCCCGCGCCGCCGCCUCAUCCGCGCCGAGCCGCAGCCGCCGCCCCCCCGGGGCGAAGGCCCGGCGGGCCCCGGAGCGGCGGGCGGCCGGGGCCGGGCCUGGCGCAAAGCGGCGGCGGGGCCGGAACAGGCCGCGAGCCUGGUGCGCCCGGCGGGCCUUCCCCUUCCACCCGACGGCGGGCUCGCCGGCCGCCUGCCCACGCGGCCCCCGGCGCCGGGCAGCCGAGCCGGGGCGGUCCCGGCAGCGCUCCUUACCGAGGCCCGCGAGAGACGGGAACCGAGAAGCCGAGGCCGAGCGGCGGCGAAGCCCGAAACUGACACGGCGGCCAUCUUGGUGCCCGUUGGCGUGCGGAGCCGCGUGCCGUGCCCGUACCACUCACAUGCACGUGCUCGAAAACUGCUCUCUCCUUAGGCGGCUUUGUGAGCAGGCUCCACAGAGCUGGCUCUUUGUCACUGGAAUCAGAGGGAACCCACUGGGGAGCAUCCACCCUAGGCUAAUACAGGCAGCAGCAUGGCUCUGCCCUGCAGGUGUACGGCGUUGGACCUACUGUCUGUCAAAAGCUGGCAGAAAAGAGCAAAUUCUAAUUUUACGAAAUAAUGGCAUUCUCUCCUAGGUUGUACUUGGUUAAAAUAAUCUCACUUUGUUAUUUAUACUACGUGGUUACGUGCUGCGUGCAGUUCCCUAACCUUUUUUUAAAACAGCUGUGUAUGCACGAAGUCAGGUACACAUUUUUCAGUGUUAUCUUAAAGGACAACUGCUGGGUAAAGAUUCAUGCAAGCUUCCCUUUUCAGAAAAGAAAAAAUCUUAAGAAACGUCAUGAAGACAGUUGAUAAAGCAACAAAGUGGUGUUUUCUGAAUGGCUUUGUUCAAUGUCUUGUGGUGAGAAAUUUCUCUUCUGAGCAAGAGGAAAUCUUUGAUGUUUUAACAAAUAGGUUUUUCAGUAUGCACAUGAAUUGCUUGUUACUUGAACUGUUUGGGAAGCCAGUGGAGUUUGAGGUGCUCUUGUACGAGGUAUUGUACAAACAGUUCUGUUCCUCUCAUGCAAACUGU